This 229-nucleotide unclassified non-coding RNA is filed under the name plant metagenome. Its description in RNAcentral is "partial contains small subunit ribosomal RNA and internal transcribed spacer 1". The stretch from base 1 to 46 matches the Rfam family "Eukaryotic small subunit ribosomal RNA", at positions 1786 to 1831 of the family's 1831-position model. The record is from RNAcentral.
AAGUCGUAACAAGGUCUCCGUAGGUGAACCUGCGGAGGGAUCAUUACAGAGCUCAUGCCCUAACGGGUAGGAUCUCCCACCCUAUGUUAUCCAUUCACCAUGUUUGCUUUGGUCGGGCCGUUGCGAGGCUCAGCGCUCGGCUACCGGCUCUGGCUGGUAAGCGCCCAGCCACGAGGACCUCCAAAACCCUGAAUAUUCGUGUCGUCUGAGUACCAUAUAAUAGUUAAAA